GUUAAAAUAUUGGUUACCGUACGAUCACCAAAGUUAAGCAAUGUCCAGCCUGAUCAGUACCUAGAUGGGUGACCGCUUGGGAAUAGCAGGUGUUGUUA
Acanthosepion pharaonis is the source of this 98-nucleotide non-coding RNA. The record is from the annotation of a GenBank genome assembly. NCBI's taxonomy places the organism in Eukaryota, Metazoa, Mollusca, Cephalopoda, Sepiida, Sepiidae.